AGUGAACGCUGGCGGUAGGCCUAACACAUGCAAGUCGAACGGCAGCACAGGAGAGCUUGCUCUCUGGGUGGCGAGUGGCGGACGGGUGAGGAAUACAUCGGAAUCUACUUUUUCGUGGGGGAUAACGUAGGGAAACUUACGCUAAUACCGCAUACGACCUACGGGUGAAAGCAGGGGAUCUUCGGACCUUGCGCGAUUGAAUGAGCCGAUGUCGGAUUAGCUAGUUGGCGGGGUAAAGGCCCACCAAGGCGACGAUCCGUAGCUGGUCUGAGAGGAUGAUCAGCCCGACUGGAACUGAGACACGGUCCAGACUCCUACGGGAGGCAGCAGUGGGGAAUAUUGGACAAUGGGCGCGAGCCUGAUCCAGCCAUACCGCGUGGGUGAAGAAGGCCUUCGGGUUGUAAAGCCCUUUUGUUGGGAAAGAAAUCCAGCUGGUUAAUACCCGGUUGGGAUGACGGUACCCAAAGAAUAAGCACCGGCUAACUUCGUGCCAGCAGCCGCAGUAA
This 506-nucleotide ribosomal RNA is filed under the name uncultured bacterium. Its description in RNAcentral is "partial 16S ribosomal RNA". It matches the Rfam family "Bacterial small subunit ribosomal RNA", at positions 29 to 523 of the family's 1533-position model. The record is from RNAcentral.